GACGUCGAAUAUCAACGUCAUAAACACCAAAGUUGAUCGUGUUUGUUACGUCGAAUAGCGACGUCAUAAACACCAAAGUUGAUCGUGUUUAUGACGUCGAAUAUCGACGUCAUAAAUACCAAAGUUGAUCGUGUUUAUGACGUCGAAUAUCGACGUC
Molecule: non-coding RNA, 157 nt
Organism: Paramuricea clavata
Lineage: Eukaryota; Metazoa; Cnidaria; Anthozoa; Malacalcyonacea; Plexauridae
Source: the annotation of a GenBank genome assembly